AUCCAGUUGACGAAUCCUAAACAGGAUGAAACACGCGUACUGAAU
Non-coding RNA from Schistosoma rodhaini, 45 nucleotides. Lineage: Eukaryota; Metazoa; Platyhelminthes; Trematoda; Strigeidida; Schistosomatidae. The record is from Rfam.